UACAGCUUCACCAAAAUAGCCUCAAAACUACGACUAGAGCCAUGCAACAAAGGCCAGCCGUCACAGCUUAAGAGCACUCCCCUUGUUCUGCAGUAUCGACCUUCUCUUAUGUGAGUAAAUAACAGACACACAGGCUCCAGAGAGAGAAUGUCUCAACUGAGAAAUUGAACUCUGUGUAUGCUGAUAUUUUUUCCAUAUUCCUGGAGAGACUGUGUGAGCCUGUUCUGUUUAUGACUGCACAAAAAACAGUGACAAAACAAAACAGUGACAUGAACAAACUAAACAUGGAAAGGAAAGGUGCCUCUGCUCAGCUCCAUAACUCUCCUAUAACUCAGGAACUCAAAAGAAAAAGGAUCGCAGAAUGGAUCAAGUUGG
This is a long non-coding RNA of Corvus hawaiiensis (hawaiian crow), 375 nucleotides long. RefSeq lists it as uncharacterized. Lineage: Eukaryota; Metazoa; Chordata; Aves; Passeriformes; Corvidae. The record is from RefSeq and is a predicted model, not a curated record. The transcript is spliced from 5 exons.